Molecule: ribosomal RNA, 320 nt
Filed under: uncultured Bacillus sp.
Lineage: Bacteria; Bacillati; Bacillota; Bacilli; Caryophanales; Bacillaceae
Also listed under: 1 other name
Description: bacterial SSU rRNA
Rfam family: Bacterial small subunit ribosomal RNA
Source: RNAcentral
CUGUCGUGAGAUGUUGGGUUAAGUCCCGCAACGAGCGCAACCCCUACGUUUAGUUGCUAACGCGUGAAGGCGAGCACUCUAGACGAACUGCCGUUGACAAAACGGAGGAAGGUGGGAUGACGUCAAAUCAUCAUGCCCCUUAUGUUCUGGGCUACACACGUGCUACAAUGGCCGGUACAGACGGACGCAAAGCCGCGAGGUGGAGCAAAUCCUAAAAAGCCGGUCUCAGUUCGGAUUGCAGGCUGCAAUUCGCCUGCAUGAAGUCGGAAUCGCUAGUAAUCGCAGGUCAGCAUACUGCGGUGAAUACGUUCCCGGGCCUU